UACGGGGGGGGCAAGCGUUGUUCGGAAUUACUGGGCGUAAAGGGCUCGUAGGCGGCCAACUAAGUCAGACGUGAAAUCCCCAGGCUCAACCUGGGAACUGCGUCUGAUACUGGAUGGCUUGAAUUCGGGAGAGGGAUGCAGAAUUCCAGGUGUAGCGGUGAAAUGCGUAGAUAUGCGGAGGAACACCGAUGGCGAAGGCAAUCCCCUGGGCCUGCACUGACGCUCAUGCACGAAAGCGUGGGGAGCAAACAGG
Molecule: ribosomal RNA, 253 nt
Filed under: uncultured bacterium
Lineage: Bacteria
Description: partial 16S ribosomal RNA
Rfam family: Bacterial small subunit ribosomal RNA
Source: RNAcentral